ACUUAUUUUCAUUUGAAAAAUGUUACAUGUUGUAUGUGGCAUUGCAUGUUCUAUGUGGUGUCUCUUGCUACUGGUUAUUACUGAAGCCGAGACUAUCCAGGGUCAGGGCUUGAGCUCUAAAAAGCAGCGGUUCUGGGACUGGCCUUCACCCCUUAGGCAGUGCUGCUGUGACAUCAGCUGACCUCUCUUGCCAUCAGGUUUGGGUCAUGUGCUUUUUUGUAAUGCUCUGGGGUGGAAACCAUUGAGCUCCUUAGUGUUAAACAGACCACACGUCUUCUCAGUGAGAUUAGAUUUUGGUUAUAAAUGAAGCCUAUCAUCUGGUUUCUGAGUGGAGGCUGUGAGUGUGGGGUUAACCCUGAUAACACUGGUAUCCUCCUGAACCAAGCAGUCCCAAGAGCACCUGAGCUGUACCUCUCCUGAGUGUUUUUCAGAUUAAAACAAAUUCUUACCAGGAGGAUGUUUUUGGGUAGGAUCACGACUAGGCUGGCUCUGUAGGUGAAGAGUAACAAGCUGGUUAUUGGUUUUAAGCGUGGGGAUUUUUCUUUUUCCUUCUUUUUUUUUUAAGUAAACUUCACUCCCAGUGUUAGGCUCAGACUCACACCCUCAGGAACAAUAGUCGUAUGUCAUGGACUGAGCCAUCCAGGCACCCCAAAGCGUGUGGAUUUUUCACAGCACGUAACUCAUCAGUGUUUACCUCAUAAUCCGAGCAUGAUUUAAGAGAAAGUGAAAAUCUGAAUUUGUUUCUAUUUCAGUAUUGUCCAGAGGACCGUAAGUACUGGUGAAUUCAUUAUGGAUAUUUGAUGCCCAGGAAAGAAAUCUUGAUCAAGUUCGUAAUAUUUUUUCUUUCUUUUCUUUUCUUUCUUUCUUUCUUUUUUUUUUUUUUUUUUUUUGAGCUAUUAUUUAGAAAGCAGGUUAUAUACCUGUUAGAUCAUGGAGUACCAUACAGACUCAGUGAGUGCCAUUAGCGAGUUGGGGUGCUCUCACCCUCCCUGUCCGUCACUGGGCAUGUGGAGGGCGCCAUUGUUGCCUGUCCUCCGUCUGGAAUGACCGUAUUCUUUCCUUGCAUUUCGAUAGUCAUUUAACACUUCUUAUUUUCUACCUUAUUAGUAUUACUCUCUGCCUUAUUAGUAUUACUCUCAUUUUUGUAUGUAUUUGUGAAUCCCUUGACUUUGCUAAAUCCUUAAAUUCACAAGUACAAUUACACCUGCAUUGCUCACAUGAAGUAGAGUAUAACUGAAAAGCCUAAGAGACCACUUCAGACCUGUAGUGAUUGAAAAAGGACUAGAGCCAUAAAGUAAUAAUUUGUUAACUUAGUAUGAAUGAACUGCUCUGUCUUUACUGCACUGUCAUUAUAUAUUAGGAGGAUUUCAACAGCCUUACCCUCUAAUACCUUAGGGUUGGUAAAACAAGUCAGGCUUGAUCCUACAAUCUGCCUCAACCACAGAGGAGUCAUUUGGCCCUUGGCCAUCACCAGCUUUUAUCUUGGCCUCUCCUUCUUGGAUUAGUUGACAAAAGCUUUUUUUUUUUUUUUUUUUUUUUUUUCCCCAAGGCAGUUUGGUUCGUGUUGAGCCUGUCUAGCUGUUAGCCCUGGUCUCAGUCUCCUCACCUUGUGAGGCAGUGCACUACCAAAGCUGUGGGGUUGCCUGUGUUGUGUGCGGUCUCUCACACACACACAAUAUACAUAUCUUUCAGGGCAAAUGAAAUGCUUUUUCAGUUUUCACCUAGGUUGUCUAUAGGUCUUGAAAAAGGUUUGUGUUCUCUAUAGCUACAGUAUCCAGUGUGGUAGCUAAUGGGUGUACAUGGCUUAUUUACAUUUAAAUAAGUAAAAUCAGUUUCUCACCCCCCACUUCAAGUGUUCCGUAGCUGUUUGUGACUAGCGGCUGCUAUCUUGGAACAGCUUUAUAAACUUAGAUAGUUUAGCUAUAAGAAUAUCCAUCAUUACAGAAAAUUCUGUUGGACCGUACUGGACUAGACACUCACUAAGGCAGCUUUAGGAGCCACUUGGUUCGCAUGUAGAUAGAGUAUGUGCUGGGACCAUUUGUAUCACAGAUUGAAGCCAUUUUUUAAUUCACAUGUUCACAUAUUGCUCCAAACCCCAUUUCUGAUGUCUGGCAACAAAACCAUUGCUUUAGUGUACUUCCUGAUUUUUCUCUUCACUUCGAUCAGCAUCAUUAGCAGGUGACUUUUUUCAGAGCCAUCUGUCACAAUGAAAGCUUUUAUUACACAAGUCACAGUAUUGAAAAUAAGUUGCAAAUCAUUGAAUCGCACUGUACUACGGAUGCUGGUGGUAGUUCCCGGCCUCAUUCGCUCCUGACUCUCAGGGAGAGGGAUUCAGAUCCGUGCUCAGCAAUGUUGCAUAUUACUACAUGUUUAGGACCUCUCGGGUCAUUCAUGAUAAGGCAUAACUGUGAGGCUGUAUCAGUGAAGGCCCAGGGGUUUUUCUGUGUUAUUUAACCUCAGUGUAAGCACAUGGUUCUUCAGGAUUGAGCCAUGCUGAGUUUUUCAUGAACUUUUGUGUGUCCCACACAAUGUCUUACUCAGAGUAGACAGUAAAUAUUUUGAUUGAAUAAAUUAGACAGCAGUUAAACAUGAAAUUAUAUGGUUUCUGAAUGGUAAGAACUAUUAUAGUUCGGGAAAAGGAGAGUGGUAUGAGCUAGAAUAGUUGAAAUGAGAAAGUUGUCAUCAGCCACAUAACUGGUUAGAUGUUAUGGUUCCAAAGCCAGUGCACAGUGACCUGUGUUUAUCUCCUUUAUUUAUCCAAUAAUUACUUUUAAAUAUUUCUUCAUCCCUACCAUGUGCCAGGCAUUGAACGAGGUAUUGGGGCAGUAGUGAUGAGUAGGACAAACAAAAGUCUCUGCCCUCAUGACUCUUACAAACAAAUUGAUAUAAAUAUCGGUAGUCAUGAGUGCUGUGAAGGCAGACAGAACAGGAAGUGGGUCGGGAGCCUGGGCAGGGCGGGGCUCUGUAGAUGGGGAAUCCUUGAAGGGCUCUGAACGGCCGACCUGAGUGUGAAUGAAGGGUAGACGGGAUCACAGAAACGUCGGGAGAGGAACAUGCCAAGCAGAAGCAGAUGGGAGGGUUCGGCCGUGGAGAACAAGUUCGGCAGGACUGAGGACUUGCCCCACUGGCUGGAACUGAGCAAGAGGGGUUCCCUUUGCCCCCUUAGAAAGCUGGAAUAUGGCAUGUGUGCAGAGGAGGAGCAUGAUCAGGAGAGGCAGAGGGAGAAGAGAGAGCAUCUCAAGCAGACUCCUCACUGAGCACAGAGCCUCGCAUGGGGCUGGAUCCCAUGGCCCUGAGAUCCUGACCUGAGCCGAAAUCAGGAGUUGGAUGCUCGGGCGCCCUUGGAAAGCAGUGCAUUUUGAAGGAAAUAAAACAUUUGGUUUUGAUUAUGUUA
This is a long non-coding RNA of Mustela lutreola (European mink), 3394 nucleotides long. RefSeq lists it as uncharacterized. The transcript is spliced from 2 exons. The record is from RefSeq and is a predicted model, not a curated record. NCBI's taxonomy places the organism in Eukaryota, Metazoa, Chordata, Mammalia, Carnivora, Mustelidae.